GCAUUGGUGGUUCAGUGGUAGAAUUCUUGCCUUCCAUGCGCUAGACCCAGGUUUGAUUCCCAGCCAGUGUA
RNAcentral lists this transfer RNA (71 nucleotides) under Loxodonta africana (African savanna elephant). It matches the Rfam family "tRNA". Rfam says of the family: Transfer RNA (tRNA) molecules are approximately 80 nucleotides in length. Lineage: Eukaryota; Metazoa; Chordata; Mammalia; Proboscidea; Elephantidae. The record is from Rfam by way of RNAcentral.